UAGAUUGAAGCCAGUUGAUUAGGGUAUUUAGCUGUUAACUAAAACUUCGUGGGAUCAUAGCCCACCAAUCUAG
Molecule: transfer RNA, 73 nt
Filed under: Uropsilus soricipes
Lineage: Eukaryota; Metazoa; Chordata; Mammalia; Eulipotyphla; Talpidae
Also listed under: 1 other name
Description: tRNA-Asn
Source: RNAcentral